GACGUAGGGAGCAAGCGUUGUCCGGAUUUAUUGGGCGUAAAGGGCUCGUAGGCGGUUCCGUAAGUCGGAUGUGAAAACUCAAGGCUCAACCUUGAGACGCCAUUCGAUACUGCGGUGACUUGAGUUCGGUAGAGGAGUGUGGAAUUUCUGGUGUAGCGGUGAAAUGCAUAGAUAUCAGAAGGAACACCAACGGCGAAGGCAGCACUCUGGGCCGAUACUGACGCUGAGGAGCGAAAGCGUGGGGAGCGAACAGG
RNAcentral lists this ribosomal RNA (254 nucleotides) under uncultured bacterium. RNAcentral's name for it is "partial 16S ribosomal RNA". It matches the Rfam family "Bacterial small subunit ribosomal RNA", at positions 524 to 776 of the family's 1533-position model. The record is from RNAcentral.